RNAcentral lists this long non-coding RNA (2050 nucleotides) under Panax ginseng (ginseng). RNAcentral's name for it is "long non-coding RNA (PGIN_LNC005550)". Lineage: Eukaryota; Viridiplantae; Streptophyta; Magnoliopsida; Apiales; Araliaceae. The record is from RNAcentral.
UGAUAGCAAAGAACCCAUCUGCCUCUUAUUUCUUCUCUCUCCUGCUCUCCCCGCUGCCUCUUUCUUGCUCUUCCCAUCUCCCAGCUCGCCCAUCUCUUCGCUCGUCGGCCAUCUCCUCGCUCAUCACCCAUCUCCUCGCUCGUCGCCCACCUUCUCGCUCAGGCUUCCCAUCUCCUCGCGACAAAUCCUUCGAUUCAUUGCAAGGUAACAAAAUUAGAUGUGGGUAGAUGGAUUUUCUUGCUUUUAGUGUUGAAUUAGGCCUUUUGUUUUAUAUUUUGUGUUUUGGUUUUGAAAAAUUGGAGGGCUAAUAAUUUUUCAGGGCCAAACCCUAGAAUAUGCAGAUUUGUUUGUGUUGAUAGACAACUUUUUGAUUUAUGAAUAUUGUUCUGGGUUAUAGUGGGUGGUGUUAAAAAUAGAAAGCAGAGAACAUUUGUUCUGCUGGUAUGGAGUGUUAUUAUUUGAGAAUGAGUUGUUAUUUGAUGAGAAACUUCUCUUUCACUUUCUCUAUCCAAAACCUUCAAAAUAUUCCCGAUCCCCUCUAUUCUUCUCCUCCGUUUGCCUCGUUUCUUCUGUUUGUUCGCUGAAUAAUUUAUUAUGUACUAUCUUUUCGUUUGCUUUCAUGUUAGUUUUGUUGAUUUUUUUUGUUAUAAAUUGUUUCAGAGAUUGUUCAGCUGGUUUUGUUUGAUAACGACUCUUUAAAAUUGUGUUCAUGGGUUUGACAACUUUUAUGUACUACACAAUACACAAUACACAAUACACAUCUGCCUAUACAUCAUCUGUUAGCUUCUGGCCAAUGUUGUCAGUUUUGUGGAUCUAUAUACUAGGGUGUAUUGAGUUUGAUUAUGUAGGCCAUUUUGAUUAUGCUUAUUAGAUUUAACAGUAAUGAUGCUAACAGUUCUCCUCAGCUUAAGGGAGGUUUCUGAAAAAAAAUAAUAUUUUUCAGGUCAGUAACAAUAUUAGAAAGUUGCCACUAAUUUUUAUUGGCAUUCCACAUUUUAUAUGAAGGAGACAAGUAUUCUUAAAUUGCUUGGUAUUUUAACUAUUAAUGUGAGACAUUAUUGUCAAAGUGUAUUUCUGAGUGUCAAUAUCAUCAUCCUUUUCUGAGGGAGGGAGACAAUAUAUGGGAUGGAAGUGCUAUCCAUUGCCUAGUAACUGGAUAUGUGAAUUGCUUGCAUAACAAAAGCCCAUACACAGAUGAAGAUCCUAGUAAAUGGGUAAUAUGACCAAACACAGAUGAAGGUUUAUUACACAAAAAGAAUUUGUUUGUAAUUUAUUUAUUUUUAAAAAAUAUUUUAAAAAUACCUUCUAGAAUUGGUUUAGUGGUUUUGAAGGGCCAAUACCUUCUAGCAUUUCUGUCUUUGAGCAAUUUAACUCAAGUAUAAGCUCUCUGAUUGGUGUUCUUAUUUCCUUCUUAAGUAUAAGCUCUCUGUUUUCUUUAUGGGCAGAGACCUUAGCUUUAACAAGCUGGAAGGGGAGAUACCAAAAGAUCUUGAAAGCCUAUCAAAUCUGAAGACUAUUUAAGCAAUCAAAAUUAAGGAAGAUGUUUUUAACUUGUGUAGGAAUUCUUUCUAGUUGUUUGAUAUACAAUUGUCAUAAUGUAUCCAAGUGUGAUGUCACACAUGAAUGUCACACAUAAUGUAUCCAAGUUUUUGUUGGCCUGUAAUGGUCAUUUUGGGGAAAAUCUUGUAGAGAUUUUUGUUUUGUUUAUAAUGGACUUUGUGCUGUUUAUAGGCCAACUACUGGUGGUGCUCCACUUCCUGCGCCAGCCAAGGCAUGAAUUUUGUGCUAAGUAUUGUCAAAUACAAACUCUGGUUACCUGUAAAAAAGUUCAAGAAAGCUCUAUUUGAAGACCAAUAUUUUAGGGCAGCGUCGCUUGCUAGCAUAUAAUAUUGCACUUGUAGGAAUUGUAUUCUUCCUCAGAAAAGGCCUUAUUUUUGCAGUUAUAAUUGAUUCUUUGAAGGAUAUUCAUAAUUAUUAUAGAUAAAAGGAGUAUAUUGGAAUAAAGCAAAUUCUUCAAUCAAAGUUGCAAAGAUAUGUGAAACAUAAGCAC